This 781-nucleotide ribosomal RNA is filed under the name uncultured bacterium. Its description in RNAcentral is "bacterial SSU rRNA". It matches the Rfam family "Bacterial small subunit ribosomal RNA", at positions 561 to 1350 of the family's 1533-position model. The record is from RNAcentral.
UAAAGGGUCCGUAGGCGGAUCUGUAAGUCAGUGGUGAAAUCUCACAGCUUAACUGUGAAACUGCCAUUGAUACUGCAGGUCUUGAGUAAGGUAGAAGUGGCUGGAAUAAGUAGUGUAGCGGUGAAAUGCAUAGAUAUUACUUAGAACACCAAUUGCGAAGGCAGGUCACUAUGUCUUAACUGACGCUGAUGGACGAAAGCGUGGGGAGCGAACAGGAUUAGAUACCCUGGUAGUCCACGCCGUAAACGAUGCUAACUCGUUUUUGGGAUUUAGGUUUCAGAGACUAAGCGAAAGUGAUAAGUUAGCCACCUGGGGAGUACGUUCGCAAGAAUGAAACUCAAAGGAAUUGACGGGGGCCCGCACAAGCGGUGGAUUAUGUGGUUUAAUUCGAUGAUACGCGAGGAACCUUACCAAGGCUUAAAUGGGAAUUGACCGGUUUAGAAAUAGACCUUCCUUCGGGCAAUUUUCAAGGUGCUGCAUGGUUGUCGUCAGCUCGUGCCGUGAGGUGUUAGGUUAAGUCCUGCAACGAGCGCAACCCCUGUUACUAGUUGCUACCAUUCAGUUGAGGACUCUAGUAAGACUGCCUACGCAAGUAGAGAGGAAGGUGGGGAUGACGUCAAAUCAUCACGGCCCUUACGCCUUGGGCCACACACGUAAUACAAUGGCCGGUACAGAGGGCAGCUACCUAGCGAUAGGAUGCGAAUCUCGAAAGCCGGUCUCAGUUCGGAUUGGAGUCUGCAACUCGACUCUAUGAAGCUGGAAUCGCUAGUAAUCGCGCAUC